ACACGCAUGACACACUGCAUAUCAAUAAGCGGAGGAAAAGAAACUAACAAGGAUUCCCUUAGUAACGGCGAGUGAAGCGGGAAGAGCUCAAAUUUGAAAUCUUCAAGGUUUUACCUUGACGAAUUGUAGUUUAUAGAAGUGUUUUCUGUUAGUAGAGUUUGGUAAAAGUUCUUUGGAAUAGGACAUCAUAGAGGGUGAGAAUCCCGUAUUUUGGACUAUUCUUCUAGCGUUGUGAUACACUUUCAAAGAGUCGGAUUGUUUGGGAGUGCAGUCCAAAAUGGGUGGUAAAUUUCAUCUAUAAGCUAAAUAUUGACGAGAGACCGAUAGCGAACAAGUACCGUGAGGGAAAGAUGAAAAGAACUUUGAAAAGAGAGUUAAACAGUACGUGAAAUUGUCAAAAGGGAAGCGUUUGACACCAGUGUUGUUUUUCCGAAAAUCAAUUACGAAUGUUUUAUUUUUGAGAAGUUAUGACUUCAUCGGCUUGCUUCUCUCUUUACGAAACUUUCUUAAUGCACUUUUCGGUUAACAAGUCAACAUCAAUUUCUUUUGUUGUAAAAGGGUACUGAGGAAGGUGGCUUUCUUUUCGGAGAAAGUGUUUAUAGCCUUGUAGCCUCUGCAAUCGGAGAGAUUGAGGUCUGCAGCGUAGAUCCUUCGGGGUUAGAUACAUUUGUGCUAAGUUAUAGCUUUUCAUAGACAACUUGUUGACUAUGUUAAGUCUUGUAGCUUACUCGCUUAUGCUAUUUUACCUACGCUUAGGAUGUUGAGCGCAUGUCUCUCUCU
RNAcentral lists this ribosomal RNA (780 nucleotides) under uncultured Neocallimastigales. RNAcentral describes it as "partial large subunit ribosomal RNA". It matches the Rfam family "Eukaryotic large subunit ribosomal RNA", at positions 23 to 616 of the family's 3401-position model. Lineage: Eukaryota; Fungi; Neocallimastigomycota; Neocallimastigomycetes; Neocallimastigales. The record is from RNAcentral.